This is a long non-coding RNA of Eutrema salsugineum, 1995 nucleotides long. RefSeq lists it as uncharacterized. The transcript is spliced from 10 exons. NCBI's taxonomy places the organism in Eukaryota, Viridiplantae, Streptophyta, Magnoliopsida, Brassicales, Brassicaceae. The record is from RefSeq and is a predicted model, not a curated record.
UUUCAUUUCGCCGAUUAGAGGCUGUAUUGGUUUCUCCGGCGUACAUGGAAGUUUCGUUAGCUCGAACCAGCCUAAAGAAGGGUGUAAAAUAGUUUCUGAGGUUACGCAGAGAGGGAAAUGAGCUUGUGCCAUUGUUGUCUGGGUAUAGCGCGAAGACGAGAGAGAGAGAGUUUGAUAGAGUUUGUAUCGAAGCUACGCAUUGUUUUGUAUUGCAAUUGGGUUUUCACCAAUUCAAACGUUUCAAGCUCCAGCUUUAGCUGUGCCCUUCCUCGGUGAUGUGUUAUGGAAGAAAAAGAAAGAGAGACACUGAGAGAAAAGGAGUUAGCUUUGAAAACUGUUGAUCAUGAGUUCUCGGAUUAUACUCGGAGAGACAGUCUCGGUUCUACUCAAGAGUAUUGACAAGGUCAGAAGCGGAACUGGGAACGGCUUUAGUAAAGGAAUCUUCAUUUCUGCAGUUCACUCGGAUGAUUGCAUCUUCGAGGACCCGACAAUCAGCUUCCAGGGUACGGAAUUGUCUGAACGAAACUUGAGAUUACUGGUUCCGUUCCUCGAAGAUGCAUCCAUUGAACUGCAAAAUAGGGAGAAAAGUGGGUCGUCCCAAAGAAACUAUAUACGGGCGACAUGGAAGCUAAGGACUUACCUGAAACUUCCAUGGAGACCAUUGAUAUCGAUCAAUGGAAGUACGCUCUAUGAACUUGAUGGAGACUUCAAAGUUGUUAGGCAUGUCUAAACACUUAUAUAUACCAAGUUCUUUUGUAAUGUAUGUCGGAGCUGACAAAAACCUUCUUGUCAAAGACCACACUCAUACAUUUAUAAACAAAUGCAGCGAAAUUGGAGGUAUGUCAUCUGUUCAUUAUUCUAUUACUAUGAUGGCCUAUGUGAUUUUUGGGUUCCAUUUCCUGCAGUCUGUGUUAGUCACAAUUGAUCGCCAUGAAUGGUACGCUCCUCCACAGUUGUAUACCCGUAAUGACAGUUCUGGUUUAUGGGAUGUGAAACCUGCAAUCGAAUCGAUUGGUAAUAGUGGUUUGCCUAUAAGCCAACAUAUUCCUCUCUGCCAUCACGAUACAGAACCCUUGCAUGAAGUGAAUCUUCGUGGAGUUAAUGAUACUGCGUCUAUUAUGGAAGCCUCGAGUGGGGAUGGUUCUCAGAAUGAUUUUGGCUCAGAAGCAAAGAAACAAAGAGUGGAAGAUGGUUCUUUAGAUGGAACUAUUAACAUGUUAGAUUUGGUAUCUAUUUUUAAAGGUUCAUGUGCCACCAUCGUGCAGUCUUGAUGGUGUACAUUCACAACAUUUCUUUGGGACUGGCGUCAUUAUUUAUCAUUCUUCAAGCAUGGGGCUUGCUGUGGUGUACAAAAACACUGUAGCUAUUUCUGCAUCUGAUGUUAUGUUGUCCUUUGCUGCUUUUCCAGUCGAGAUUCCUGGAGAGGUGGUGUUUCUUUAUCCUGUUCACAACUAUGCUCUGAUUGCCUAUAAUCCGUCAGCAAUGAGUCCUGCCGGUGCUUCAGUCAUUCGUGCAGCUGAGCUACUACCUGGCAUUUCAGGCAUUCAAAGUAGGAGACCGCAUUGACGUCAAACUAAUAGAGGUGAAUGAAAAAGGUCAGCUUCGGCUUAGUUGUUGAACACAGAAACAUGGAUACUUCGUCCAAGGACCGUGCAGCUGCAGGAGCAUCAAAAGUUGCAUCUGUGGAUGAACUUGUCCUGAAGAAGAAAGAUGCCAGGAGAGCAGCCAGUGGUGACAAGCCAAUGAAAAGCAAUAGCAAGCAGUAGCAAUGAAGAAGAGAGAAGCAGUUUAGUCAUUAAUGGUGAAGCUACAAUCAGCUAGUGAAUGCAAACAGGUUCUGUGUUCAUAUCUGUUACUUUUAAGAGGAGAGUUUCAUCCAAAUCGAACCAGAAGAUAGAGACAGUGAUUUCUCUGAGUGUUAAAUAGAAUCUAUUUAUAGCGUAACAAACUGAACCGAGAUGUUUACAUUCAAUUCCUCUUCUGGUUUAGCCUUGA